This 342-nucleotide unclassified non-coding RNA is filed under the name Hevea brasiliensis (rubber tree). The record is from RNAcentral. Lineage: Eukaryota; Viridiplantae; Streptophyta; Magnoliopsida; Malpighiales; Euphorbiaceae.
GGAUUAGAAAGAAAAAUUUUUUGCCCAUAGGAUUUGCAUGUCUGUCUUCUAUAAUGAUUUUUAAAUUUCUUUUUAAUUUGAUUUGCAAAGUUGCUAUAUUUAGCUUCUCUCUCUGAGUGUAAUGAUCCUGUUGUAGUGGUUCAAAUUUCAAACACAAUGUCACUACGAAGUACAUUUUUCCCCCUUUUUCCUUUCUAUGCUUGGUUUUUUUAGUCUAAGUAGAGAUUGGCACUAAGCUUGAGUAACCGGUCCUUGAAAAAAAUGCCAUUUUUUGCAUUUUAGGCGUUUCUGUGAAAAGCCCCAAUUUUUAGCUGUCUUCUAUCAUGUACUUGUAGUUAAGAG